Molecule: ribosomal RNA, 473 nt
Filed under: uncultured bacterium
Lineage: Bacteria
Description: bacterial SSU rRNA
Rfam family: Bacterial small subunit ribosomal RNA
Source: RNAcentral
UGGGGAAUAUUGGACAAUGGGCGAAAGCCUGAUCCAGCCAUGCCGCGUGUGUGAAGAAGGCCUGAGGGUUGUAAAGCACUUUCAGAGGGGAGGAGGACUAUUAGGUUAAGAGCUAGAUAGUUGGACGUUACCCUCAGAAGCAGCACCGGCUAACUCCGUGCCAGCAGCCGCGGUAAUACGAAGGGGGGCUAGCGUUGUUCGGAAUUACUGGGCGUAAAGCGCACGUAGGCGGAUUGUUAAGUCAGAGGUGAAAUCCCGGAGCUCAACUUCGGAACUGCCUUUGAUACUGGCAAUCUAGAGUCCGGAAGAGGUUAGUGGAAUUCCCAGUGUAGAGGUGAAAUUCGUAGAUAUUGGGAAGAACACCAGUGGCGAAGGCGGCUAACUGGUCCGGUACUGACGCUGAGGUGCGAAAGCGUGGGGAGCAAACAGGAUUAGAUACCCCAGUAGUCCCUGAGCGGGCUGGCAAGGCGCAU